RNAcentral lists this ribosomal RNA (114 nucleotides) under Paenibacillus larvae. Lineage: Bacteria; Bacillati; Bacillota; Bacilli; Caryophanales; Paenibacillaceae. The record is from RNAcentral.
UUUGGUGGCGAUGGCGGAAGGGAACCACAUGCCAUCCCGAACGCGGCCGUUAAGCCUUCCAGCGCCGAUAAGGUACUUGGACCGAAGGGUCAGGAGAGCGGACGCCCGCCAACA